UAGGGAAUCUUCCACAAUGGACGCAAGUCUGAUGGAGCAACGCCGCGUGAGUGAAGAAGGGUUUCGGCUCGUAAAGCUCUGUUGUUAAAGAAGAACGUGGGUAAGAGUAACUGUUUACCCAGUGACGGUAUUAACCAGAAAGCCACGGCUAACUACGUGCCAA
Molecule: ribosomal RNA, 163 nt
Filed under: uncultured bacterium
Lineage: Bacteria
Description: partial 16S rRNA
Rfam family: Bacterial small subunit ribosomal RNA
Source: RNAcentral